Long non-coding RNA from Rhincodon typus (whale shark), 4867 nucleotides. RefSeq lists it as uncharacterized. The record is from RefSeq and is a predicted model, not a curated record. NCBI's taxonomy places the organism in Eukaryota, Metazoa, Chordata, Chondrichthyes, Orectolobiformes, Rhincodontidae. The transcript has 3 exons.
UGUCUCCGACAUGACAAAGGCAGAACAGUUUCUCUUCACCUAAAGCAGCUGAAGGAUUUGAUUGGGGGCAGGGGAAACAGGUAAACUCUGUUCUAUUUCAGUUUAAUCACCUAUGUUCGAGAGAAUACAAACAAAGUUAAACCAUCGCCCACAGUCCUAGCUGUGGCACCUAAGUGGUAACAGGCUCAAGGGGCUGAAUGACCUUCUGUUCCUAUUUCUUAGACUUUUUAACAGCAAACAUUUGGUUAUUGACCUUGUACUCUACUCGCUAUUCUCGAUGACAGGAGCAGACUCGAUCGUGAUGCCCCUCGAGGAUCAUGAAGCUUUUAUAAUGCACAAUGUAAAUGGUUUGCCCUCUCAAGGGCAACUUAGGACAAAUUGAACUGGUGUGAAGAAAGGGAAAGGGAGUCUCAUUUACUGAUGAAGAUCCUGGAGGUCAGUUAGAGCACAGCUUCAUUCCGAGUGAAGGAACGGAGGGUGUAAAGGGGAAACAUUGAGGAGCAAGUUGUGAUGUAGAAUCAUAGAAUCCCUACAGUGUGGAAGCAGGCCAUUCGGCCCAUCAAGUCUACACUGAUCCUUCGAAGAGCAUCCCAUCCAGACCCGCCCCUCCCCUACCCUGUAGCCUUGCAUUUACCAUAGCCAGUCCACUUAACUUGCACAUCCCAGUGGGGACCCAUAUAGACACAGAGAAUGUUGCCCAAGGCUGGAAUCAAACCUGGGUCCCUCGCACUGUGAGGUAGCAGUGCUAACCACUGAGCCACCAUGCAGCCCUGAAUGCAGUCAGUGUGAAGAUAAAACUGGGGUAUUCCCAACAGCAAAUGGCAGAAACAUAGCUACCUGAAAGCAAUGGUCUUCUACAGUAGAUGAUGAAUACUUGAACAGAGAAGAGGAGAAAUGUCUUCACUCCAGAAAAUGGUAAGCCUGAGGAAUUCUUUGCCGGUUGAGGCCAAAACACUGAACGUGUUCAAGAAAAAAAGUUAGAUAUAGUUCUUGGAGCUAAAGGGAUUGAAGGGUAUGAGGAGAAAUGGGACCAGGGUUGGAUGGCAGAGCAGACUUGAAGGGCUGAAUGGCCUACUGCUGCUCCUAUUCUCUAUUUAACUGGGACUUUCUCUGUGGUGACAGGGUCCUGAAGGUGAUGAAAUAAUAAAGAAAGCGGUGGAUGAUCCGGAAAGUUUUGUGCUAAAGCCACAGCGGGAGGGAGGAGGAAAUAAUAUUUUUGGGGAAGAGCUCCGGCAGCUCCUUGGAGCCAUUAAAGAUGGACCCAAGCGAUCAGCUUAUAUCCUGAUGGAUAGAAUCAAGCCACAAACUGUGAAGAACUAUCUACUACAUCCAGGAACACCUUUGAAACUGUCAGACUGUGUGGUUGAGCUGGGCGUGUUUGGGGUCUACAUCAGGAAGUGCCGGAAGCUGGUCAUGAAUGAAAGUCCUGGCCAUCUACUUCGCACAAAGAGCACAGAGUUUGCAGAUGGAGGAGUAUCUGCUGGCGUGGCAGUUCUGGAUACACCCUAUCUUAUCUGAAUUACAGAUGGUGUCAGAACAGAAUAACAUCAUUAUUGGGGUAGAGUGCUGACAAUUCUAAAAUACAUUCCACCCACCCCACUACACCACCCCUCCCGCCAACCCCUCUGCCUCCACCUCCCACCAAAUCCUGCACCCCAGUUAAUGAAUGGACUUUCCACAAUCCACCCAGGGUGUCUUUUCCUCAAAACUGUGGGGUGGUGGGGAGUUGUGAGCAAUAAAGCUGAAUGCAUAUUUGCAAGUAAGUGAUUUAUCCAUCAUUCUUCCUUCUGAUCUUCCUUACCUAAUUUCUCAGGGAGAAACGGCGAGCUGUGUGCCAAUGCUCUGUUCCUCAGACUGCAUUCUACUCAAUCUUAGCCAUUUCUCAUCGAGUCAUACAGCACAGAAGCGCAGACCCUUCGGUCCAGCCAGUUCAUGCUGAAUGUAAUCCCAAACUAAACUAGUCCCACCUGCCUGCUCCUGGCCCACAUCUCUCCAAACCAUUCCUAUUCAUGAACUUAUCCAAGUGUAUUUUAAAUGUUGCAAUUGUGCCCAUAUCCACUACUUCCUCUGGAAGUUCAUUUCACAUGCAAGCUAUCCUCUGUGCAAAAAAAAAAUUGUCCCUCGUGUUUUUUAAAUACAUCUCCUCUCACCAUAAAAACAUGCCUCCUAGUCCUGAAAUCCCCACCCUAGGGAAAAGACCUACCAUUAACCCUAUCUAUACCCCUCAUAAUUUUAUAAACCUCUGGAAGGUCAACCCCCUGACUCCACACUGAACGAGAUCCCACCAUGCGAUUUGUUGAUAUACUGAGUACAUAACAAUGUCACUGACAUCGCUCUGUUUCUCUGUUUUCUGUUUUCUGUUGCAUGACCUAUCAGCAGACUUAAUUUAUUUUUCAGUAAAUCCCUAAUCCUCCCAGCUGGUCAUUUUCAUAAUUCUGUCCCAUUACAAUUAUUCCUUUCUUUAGAUUUACUCUCAGGCAAUGGAGUUAUCUAGUGCUGCCAGUGCUUAAGAAUUGACCUUUUAAAAUAUGGUGCUUUAAACUGAAACGAAUUUCAAUGUGUGGAAGGAGCAAUGUUGGUCGAGGGAGGAACAUAAUGGAAGAAGUGAGAUGGUCAUUUUUAGACUAAAGAACAGCUGAGGUGUCAGUUAUAUGACUUAUGGUAAUCACAUAAUAUAGUUCCACUUUGUUCCUCUCAAUGUUUGACUGCUAUCUCGUUGAUUAAAUUUGUAAAGAUGUGUUAAUUAUUCAGCUAUACAAAACUGGAUUGAGAGGUAGUCGGUUUUAGCUGGUCAUAUGCGGUUAUACCUCUGACUGCUGUUCUUCAACUCUGGUUCCUGUUCAUCAACAUAAUUCAAACAACAAUGCUGAACUAGCCACAGUAUUAAACAAGUAUGAGGCAACGUGCAACCUUUUAAAUCAUUAAUGGAAUUUUUAAAUGCAUUACUUUCUCCAGGAAGUCACAAACAGGUUUGAGUUUGAUUCUGUGGGCAGCAGUAAGCCUCUUGCUUAACCCUCACCAACCUAUUUUACAAAGUAGGAGAUUGCACUAAAACUAAUCUCGCUCUCUGCUUCGCCUCAUUCCUGCCCCCCAACCCCUUAAAAAACUUUGCAGCAAAGUUUAAUCUUGCGCUUUUAGUAUAACCAAUUCACAGCAGCAUUGGAGCAUACUGGGAUCAAGGGAAAGAAUGGCCUACUUCUAUUUUUUUUCAUGUAGAAGAGCCUCGUUCAGCCCAGUUUGCCCUUCCAGCUUUAAUUGCUUUUGAAACUUUGUACUUCCACCACCUUUUCAAGCAGCAUGUUCCAGUAACCGCUCACUCUGCUCAUCUGCCUCUGCCUGUUCCUUUAACUAUGCCUCUUGGGUUAUUGAGUAUCUUCUAGUGAAAGAAGUUUCUUACUUUUACUUUUUGUCUCUGUCACGCGCUCGCACUCUCUUUCCCCUAACUAGUGAUUUGUGAAGCUUUACCAUGACAAAUGUUGUUUUUGCAUUCUGUCUCUAUUUAUAAAGCCAUGGAUUCUGUGUGUUUUAUAUAAUAACCUUCUCAACUGAUCCUGUCAUGUUAAAGUAUUUGUAAGUUAACAUUCUCCACCCCUACCCCUAAAGUCCCUCUUUACCUGCAGCCUUUUAAAAUUGUUAGUGGAAUUUUUAAAUGCAAUAUUUUCAUCAGGAAGUUAUGAACAGUUUUGAGUUUGAUUCAGUGUGCAGCAAUAAGCUUCUAUUGCUCAACUCUAGCCAACAGAUUGUAAAAAUAAAAAGUAGGAGAUUGCCCUAAAAUGAAUCACACUGUCUCUCUGCUUCACCUCAUUCCUGCCCCACCACCCCUUUUUUUUUUUUUUAGAAAGUAGCCCUCCAGUAUAUAAACGUCAUGUGACAUAGCUAAUGGAAAUCUGCACUGUUUGAAUUUCGGUGUAUAAACAAAAAAAGUUGUUUAGUCAUAUAAAACAUGUGUUGCUUAAAGACAUUUUGUCAAGCAUUUUGUCUUGCACUUACCAGGACAAUUCACAAGAAUGCCAUUUAAAGGGGAAACAAAAUCUGCAUGAGAAAGUGACAAGUGGACCAUGGUAGAGGUGUUGCCAUGGAGAUUGCACCUCUCAAUAGUGGUUGACAGUUAACUGCCAAACUUUUUGUUUAAAAUUUAAACCAUUCAGAAUGGCUCUGCUCAGGGCUUCACCCUGGGGAAUGAACUAGGGAAUGAACUGGCUGUCACCUAUUUCAUUUGAGUUGAAAUGGGCUCUGUGUGCACUUGUUCUUUCAGUUUGCAUGUGUAUUAACACAGGUCGGGAAUCCAUUUCCAGAAACCGGGGGACCAACUUGUUUUCAGGUAAACAAUAUUUUUGGUUUUUGCUUGCACUUAACUGUUAGAUCCAUUUGAGUUGGUUUUUAGGUUCAUUCAGUUUUCAAACAUGUGGAUAAAGGAUACCUGACCUGUAUUUGUAGCUUCCAGUCAGUAGUUAACUGUCUGCCAUAAAUAAUUGGCACAUUCUCAAUGGCAAGUCUGCCAGAGUCCACUUACUCACCAGUCAACACCCGCCUCUAGUGUAGUAUAAAUGUUGGCUUUCCCUUUGAAUUGGUACUCUUGCAAAUGGUCCUUAUGAGUACAAGACUAAAAUGUUUCAACAAAAUGUGCCCUGUCUUUGGCAAUAACUAAAUAAUUUUUCUGUCAAACUCUGUUUACCAUUUGAAGUGUCUCUGACAAGAUGCCUUCCCCUGAGCAGUUAAUGGAGCUCAAACUGGAAACCUGCAGGGAUUGAGGCAGAGUCAGUGGGGUAGGCUGCAUUGUUUCAGAUUAUUACACCAAAAACAUGUUAGAUAUUUUAUAUGAAAAAUUGUUCUAGAUCUUAUUAAUAAAUACACAGUUGAUUUACAA